This 497-nucleotide ribosomal RNA is filed under the name uncultured bacterium. Its description in RNAcentral is "partial 16S ribosomal RNA". It matches the Rfam family "Bacterial small subunit ribosomal RNA", at positions 28 to 507 of the family's 1533-position model. The record is from RNAcentral.
GAUGAACGCUGGCGGCGUGCCUAAUACAUGCAAGUCGAGCGAACGGACGAGAAGCUUUCUUCUCUGAUGUUAGCGGCGGACGGGUGAGUAACACGUGGAUAACCUACCUAUAAGACUGGGAUAACUUCGGGAAACCGGAGCUAAUACCGGAUAAUAUUUUGAACCGCAUGGUUCAAAAGUGAAAGACGGUCUUGCUGUCACUUAUAGAUGGAUCCGCGCUGCAUUAGCUAGUUGGUAAGGUAACGGCUUACCAAGGCAACGAUGCAUAGCCGACCUGAGAGGGUGAUCGGCCACACUGGAACUGAGACACGGUCCAGACUCCUACGGGAGGCAGCAGUAGGGAAUCUUCCGCAAUGGGCGAAAGCCUGACGGAGCAACGCCGCGUGAGUGAUGAAGGUCUUCGGAUCGUAAAACUCUGUUAUUAGGGAAGAACAUAUGUGUAAGUAACUGUGCACAUCUUGACGGUACCUAAUCAGAAAGCCACGGCUAACUUCGUG